This 392-nucleotide ribosomal RNA is filed under the name uncultured bacterium. Its description in RNAcentral is "partial 16S ribosomal RNA". It matches the Rfam family "Bacterial small subunit ribosomal RNA", at positions 523 to 918 of the family's 1533-position model. The record is from RNAcentral.
AUACGGAGGAUGCGGGCGUUAUCCGGAUUUAUUGGGUUUAAAGGGAGCGUAGGCGGGAGCUUAAGUCAGCGGUUAAAUGGUGCGGCUCAACCGUGCCCUGCCGUUGAAACUGGGUUUCUUGAGAGUGCAAGAGGCGGAUUGAAUUCAUGGUGUAGCGGUGAAAUGCUUAGAUAUCAUGAAGAACUCCGAUUGCGAAGGCAGUCCGCUGGGGCACGUCUGACGCUGAUGCUCGAAGGUGCGGGAAUCAAACAGGAUUAGAUACCCUGGUAGUCCGCACGGUAAACGAUGAUUACCCGCUGUCGGCGGUAGACAGUCGGCGGCCAAGCGAAAGCGAUAAGUAAUCCACCUGGGGAGUACGCCGGCAACGGUGAAACUCAAAUGAAUUGACGGGG